Molecule: long non-coding RNA, 1852 nt
Organism: Papaver somniferum (opium poppy)
Lineage: Eukaryota; Viridiplantae; Streptophyta; Magnoliopsida; Ranunculales; Papaveraceae
Exons: 10
Source: RefSeq, a predicted model, not a curated record
CUCUCUUUCUAUUUUUCAUUCUAGGUUCAGCCGAGAGAAGAGAAAAACUUUUCUCUUCUUCUUCUUCGCAAAUCUGCUUAGAUUUUAGGUUUUUCUUGAAAUUAAAACCAUCUUUCCAACAAAUCUUAUAAUCUAAUCAAAACCCAUCUUCAAGAAAUGUCGAUCUACAAUCUAUAAUUUUUUCCUAAACCUAAUUUUUUCCAUGAAAUCUAAAAUCAAAUCAUACAACCUCCGAUUCAGCAGCAGUUUGUUGGAUUAUCAUCAGGUCAAUAUGGUGAUCAGUGGUGGUAAGGGUUAAGCAAAUAAUACAAUCGUGGCUUUUGUUUUGUUGUAUACUGGUGAAAAUCUAACAACUUUGUUGUUGUAUGAAAAGGAGAUCAGAAUGGAGUUCAACUGCAUCUAUCAAGCCAUUUACUUAGCAGUUUCUACAACUGAUGGAGAAACCAAUUAUUGGAUGUGGAUGCUGGUGGUGGGUUUCCGUGGUGGGAAUGGACACAUCCUCUUCCUUCGCAGUUUGAAAUCAUGCAACACAGUUGAAGUCACUAUCUCCUAGGGUCUGGAGAUUUAAUUACGACCAGUAUGAUCUUUAUUGUAAUAUUACGGAUGAACAAUUAAUCGACGUAGGAACUCGAUUAUAGGCGACGACAGAAAGGAACUGGAGGAGUAAAGAAGCCCUUAUGCCUCUUUAAGAGAAAGUAAAGCCGAACGAAGCUACCUUACCAAAACUAUUGGCGACAAUGGACGGUAGUAGUAGUCUUGACUGCAGUCUCCAGUAAGAAAGAUUUGCACAAUCAACUGAGAAAUUUUCCUUCUUGGGUUCAAUUUCUUUAUUUUCCUUUCAAAAUUUUCUGUUUUUAUUUUUUUCAAGUACAUUGAUUUCUAUUAACUCUGUUUAUGUCGGACAGUGUAUGUCAAAUGCAGGGAGCAAUGAGUACUCGUACGUAAUCCAACUCCCUUGCUCUCUUACCUCGAGAAGUUGAUACUCUUGGAACUUGUAGCUGGAUGAUAAGCAAGCAAAGGACUUGAAAGGUGUUAUUAAUCUCUCUGGUUCUCCUUAUGGAUAUUUUUCUCCUCUUGAUCGAGGAGGCCUAUACAACUCACCAAAUAUGGACCAAAUGUUGGCUGUUUACUUAUAAGGUACCGACGUAUCGAACGUUCAACAGACAAGUCUUUGUUGCAGGGGGUGUGCCAACAGACACUACAGCAAGGUCAAAUCCUCCUGGGGAUGCCAGGACACCGAAUAUUACUUGCAUAGGUGGGUUUGGACUACCUCCAGAUAUGGAACGGAUGCUUAGCGGGGCACAAGAUCCUUCCCAAAUGAAUCAACUUCUGCAGAAUCCAGCUGUUGGCCAGAUAAUGCAAAGCAUUCUCCCUAACCAUCAGUACAUGAAUCAGGUGUUGGGACUUGAUCCCCAACUGCGAGGCCUGCUUGAAUCCAGUCCUCAGUUGCGAGAAAUGAUGUAGAAUCCAGAAUUUCUUUGCCAGCUAACCUCUCCCGAGACAAUGCAGGAAGUGACUCAAAUUCGUCCACUCUUGAUGCAUUAGCCGUUUUCAUCUUCCGUGUGCUUCAACGAGAAAAUCACCCUGAAUUCAUCUUUCGUUCACUCAGCCCCUGCUUGGAUGCAACUGCAAAGGAAUUCGUAUCGAUUCAAGGAAAUGUGCAUGCGCAAAGUAGGUUAAGGUUUUCAUAGUUUCAAAUUCAGAAACUUGUGUUUAUAACAUUUUGGAUUUUGCAUAAGUUGUUUAAUCUGUAUGGGUUUAUGGUUCAUCUAUCUAGCUUAGCUACUUUGUUGUGUAUGAAUCGUUUUUGAUGGAUUGUGAUAAUCAAUAAUUGUUCUUUGACCGAUUGUAA